GUAAUAUGCACAACAAUCGACUUUUGCAUAUUCUGAAUCUCUAAUAUUUUACAUCUUUUUGUUUGGAAUCUUCCUCGUCUCAUCAGCGCUUAUCCUGUAUCCAGCUAUGCCCUCUAUUUCAACCCAGCUCUAAGCUAGCUUGUCAUUAUUUACGAUCUCUCUCUCUCUCUCUCUCUCUCUCUCUCACUCUAAAACACAAAAUCCAUGAAAGGUCGGAGAUUCCUGCGUUUUUUCUCCCUUUCCCUCUGCAUAGGCCUAGUCCUCUUCUUCACUUGGUCCCACCUCCCUUACGCGCCGCAGUACGUCUCCGACCUCCUCGACUGCACAGCAAACUCCGCCUGGUGCUCUAUUAUCACCAAUCAUAUGAUUACUACCAACUAGAUGAUCAAAAAUACGCCCAGUACUCCAAAUUAUUCGACAACUUGCCGCUAUUAUCACCAACCAGGUGAUCAAAAGUACGCCCAGUACUCCAAAAUUGAUUCGGCAGCCUGCCGCUAUUAUCACCAACCAGGUGAUCAAAAGUAAGCCCAGUACUUCAAAUUAUACAUGAGCAUUACUCAUGUCAAUCAUACAUAAACAUUCAUGAGCAUCACUCAUAUCAAUCGUACAUAAACAUUCAUGAGCAUCACUCAUGUCAAUCAACAUAAACAUUCAUGAGCCUCACUCAUGUCAAUCAGCUUCGAAAGCUUCAUUUACAGAGCUCUAGCUUCAAAAGCUUCAUUUACAGAGUUCUAGCUUUAAAAGCUUCAUUUAUAGCGCUCUAGCUUCAAAAAGCUUCAUUUACAAAAGCUUCAGCUUCGAAAGCUUCAUUUACAGAGCUCUAACUUCAAAAGCUUCAUUUACAGCGCUCUAGCUUUAAAAAGCUUCAUUUACAAAAGCUCCAGCUUCGAAAGCUUCAUUUACAGAGCUCUAGUUUCAAAAGCUUCAUUUACCAAAGCUCCAACUUCGAAAGCUUCAUUUACAGAGCUUUAGCUUCAAAGCUUCACUUGCAAAGCUUCACCUACAAAGCUUCACUUGCAAAGCUUCACCUACAAAGCUUCAGUGCAGGGUAUACAAAUACCGUCUCCGAACAACCGCCACUUCGGCCCAUACAUGGAUUCAAUUUGAAGUUUCCAGCCAACAGACUCUAUUGACCGAAGACUUGGGGGACUACAUUAUGUACCAUAUAUUGGGUCUCAACUGGGCCUCAUGAAAAAUACUUGAGGGACUUAGGCCAUUAUUUAUGUAAUAAGUAAGGAGCCCUUAUUCUAUAAAAGGGACUCCCUCACUUUCAUUAGAGAGCACUCAUGAAAAUACUUAGGGGACUUAGCCCAUUAUUCAUGUAAUUAGUGAUGAACCCUUAUUCUAUAAAAGGGACUCCCUCACCAUCAUUAGAGAGCAUCGCCGCCAGCUGAGCAACCGCCUCGUCGCGAGCAUUACUCUUAACCCAUCAUUUAUGUAUUGAGGAGCGAGCCUUUAUUCUAUAAAAGGGACUCCAUCACCAUCAUUAGAGAGCAUCGCCACCAGCUGAGCAAUCGUCUCGCCAUGAACAUCACUCCUAACCCAUCACUUAUGUAUUGAGGAGCGAGCCCUUAUUCUAUAAAAGGGACUCAUUCACCAUCAUUAGAGAGCAUCGCUGCCUGCUGAGCAACCGCCUCACUGAGAGCAUCAACUCUAGCCCAUCAUUUAUGUAUUGAGGAGCAAGCCAUUAUUCUAUAAAAAGGACUCCCUCACCUUCAACGCCACAAGCCGAGCCAACCAAGGCAACAUAAGCCACAAGCCGAACAACCUCGUAAUAUGUGCUACUUCUAGUUGAGCAUCAUUUCAGAUUGAGAACCGCCUCAUAUCAAGUAUCAGUCCUAGACGAUAUCUAGUUACUUCGGCCCACACAUGGAUUGAAUUUCAAGUCUCCAGCCAAAAGACUCUCUUGACUGAAGACUUGGGGGACUACUGUUUGUACCAUACUUAAGGCCUCCGUAUUUAGAUCUCAUAUAAAUACUCAGGGGACUUAAAUGUAAUUGUGUAAUAAAGGAAGAGGCAAAUAUGUAAAAAGAGGAGGAUCCCUUAGUCUAUAAAAAGGCAUCCUCACCCUCACAAUUGGGAGGCCAAUUCUUAAGCCUCACAUCCCCUCUCAUAUUCAGAGCUAGGCUCUCACUCUCAGAUUACAGAGGCUCUCACCUUCACAAUCCCCUCAGAGAAAUACAAUAUCAGUGUGGACGUAGCCUAAACAUUGGGGUGAACCACGAUACAUCUUGUGUUAUUUACUUUCUUGCAGAUUCACGGUCGGAUUUACGUUGUUCCAAGACCCCUCUGGUUUUGUGCAUCAACAAGUAUUAUACCAUGUCUUUGUUUACAUAUUAAAGGAUUUGGUUGUGUGCAGCAAUCAAAAUGUCUAAAAGAAAAUUUAAGUCUCAAGAAGAAACAAUAUAUACCCCAACUGAUUGUAAUCUAGCACCUACAUUGAAUCCAAGUGUUGUGCAACAAGAAAUAUCAAAUCAAAUUGCUCAACCCCAAGAUAUACCAACUCCAAAUGAGGUUGCUGGUGAGACUGAGGAACCUUAGGGUGAUGAUGGUGAAGGUAAUAAUUCGAGACUUCGCAGUUUGGUGUGGCAACAUUACACAAGAACAGUAGUUGAUGGGGUGAUGAAAGCAAUAUGUAAUUAUUGAAGAAGCUUGGUGGGAACACUGGAACUGGAACCAGCCAUUUGAGGCAUCAUGUGACGAUAUGUCCACGUUGGACACAAAAAAAAUUGAAGCAAACACAAACCCAAAAAGUAGGAGAUGGGAAAGUAGAGUUGUAUACAUUUGAUCAAGAAAGUGCAAGGAGAGCUCUCCCCCAAAUGAUAAUAUUGCAUUAGUACCCUCUUUCUAUGGUUGAGCAUGUUGGAUUUAGAAACUUCAUGAGUGUUGUCCAACCGUUGUUUAAGGUUGUUUCAAGAAACACAAUCAAGAGUGAUAUCCUUAAAAUAUAUGAUUAUGAGCAUUCGAAAACAAUGCAAUUAUUGGAUGAAAAUAAGAGUAGAAUUGCCAUAAUUACUGAUAUGUGGACUGCAAGUAAUCAAAACAGAGGAUUUAUGGUAAUAACAUCACAUUUUAUUGAUGACUCUUGGAUGUUGCAGAGCCGAAUAAUAAGGUGAUAUUUUUAAUACUUUAAUAUCUAUUUAAUUAUUGUUUAGCUUUAGAUUUAUAUUUUAGAUUCUUUAUUGUAACCAUCUUCUUUGUAAUUUUUUUUCAAAUUUAUUUAUGUGCCUUGGCCGCAUACCGCCGAGACACUUUCAGAUGUUUUGAUGGAGUGCUUGCUAGAUUGGAACCUCGAUCGUAAGCUUUCUACCUUAACCGUGGACAAUUGCACUAUAAAUGAUAAAAUGAUUGAUCUUAUUCUUGAAAAACUUUUUAAUAGUUCACUUUUGUUGGGUUGAGGGUUCUUUCACAUGCGUUGUUGUGCGCAUAUAUUAAACUUAAUUUUGAAGGAUGGUCUGGAAGUGAUUGGUGGUGGUGUUGAGAAAAUUCGUGAUAGUGUUGUUUAUUGGACAACAACACAAAAAAGAGAAGAAAAAUUUGAGGAAACAACACGUCAGUUGAAGCUUCCAAGCACUAAGAAGAUGGUGCUUGAUUGUAAAACUCGGUGGAAUUCCACUUUUUUAAUGAUUCAAUCUGCUUUGAUUUACAGGGAUGUUUUCCUUUGUUUGAGACAACAAGAGUUGCAAUAUAAGUGUUUGCCUGAUGAUAGAGAUUGGGAGAUGGCAAGAGAGAUUUGUGAGAAGUUAAAGUUGUUUUAUAAUGUCUCCGAGUUGUUUUCUGGAACUAAGUACCCUACAACCAAUCUUUAUUUUCCAAAGAUUUGUGAGAUCGGGUUGUCUCUAACCCGGUGGCUUACCUCUAGACGUAAUGAAAUAAAAAAUAUGGCAAGAAGUAUGAUUGAGAAAUUUGAUAAAUAUUGGAGUGUGAUUCAUGGAAUAAUGGUUGUAGCUACUGUAUUGGAUCUAAGACUGAUUGAGUAUUUCUUCCCUCUUAUGUAUGGGCAAUAUGCUUCGAAUGAAAUUGAUAAGAUUUGCAAAUAUUGUUAUGAUUUGGUAUAAAAGUGUGGAUCUAAUCAUAUUUCUAACAUGGGUCAUCAACCAUCAUUCACUUCAUCUCAUUUGAAUCAAUUUGACUUUGAAGAGAUGAAUCCUUUAAUGGAUAACUUUGACUUGUUUGUUUCUAGUACUGUAAGUACCGAUAAUGUAAAGUCAGAAUUAGAUCACUAUUUGGAUGAGGCUGUUUUGCCUAGAACAUCUGAUUUUGAUAUUUUGGGUUGGUGGAAAUCAAAUGGGACUAAAUAUCCUAUCUUAAGUGCUUUGGCAAGGGAUAUAUUAGCUAUUCCUGUAUCUACAGUUGCUUCCGAAUCAACUUUCAGUACUAGUGGGAGAUUUAUAAGUCCACACUGUAGUAGACUUCAUCCAAAGACAUUGGAAGCCUUAAUGUGCGCCCAAAAUUGGUUGUGGAAAGAAAUUCAAGGUACCCCAAAGUAUUAAUUUAUUUUCAUCUUAUAUUGUGCAUGUUCUUUAAUCUUAAUUUCGAACUUAUUUUUCAAACUUAAUUAAUUAGUAUGCAUUCAGUUUUUAGAACUAAUUUAAGUCUUUAUGUUUCACAACUAGCUUGUUGUUCUAAUGCACACAUCGGUUGUUACACUUAUUUUGAAGAUAUGGAUAUGGAUGAGGUAAGUAUUGACAAUUAUAUUAUAUGUAUAUAACUAUCUUCUUUGUAGAUUAUAUGUAUACAACGAUUCAUAUUAAUUAUUUCGUCAUUUGCUUAAUAAUGUAGGAAUCAUGCUCCAUUGAUGGGUGUGAAGGAGGAGCACCAUGAAAUAUGAUACUGGCUUGGUGGAACUAAAACUAAAGUGCAAAUAUCUCGUUCUUUUGUGGUCACAAGUUUUGGAAUUAUUAGAUAAUUUGUUUUGUCUUCCUUUCGUAUUUGUCUUUGUCCUCUUUUUCUUUUUUAUUGGACCAAUUUAUCAUAUUGGCUUAUUAUGAACAACUUCAAAUAUAUAUUGUUAUGUUUUUUUUGUAAUUGGAUGUGGCUAUUUAAUGGCAGAAUUAGUAUCUACUAAAAUUUAUGCGUCAAUUAGAUGAAUAUAAUUUAUUUUAUUUUUUUUACGAAUAUGGUGGAUAUGGUUAUGAAUAAUCCCUGAUGAUUAUUUUGUGGUUAUGGGUAUGGUUAAUUUUUGUGAUUAAAUUAUGAGGAUAGAUAUAACAUUUCCGUCUCCAAUCCGAACCAUUGGCACCUCUGGUGGGUGAUCGGUAAUAUGCACAACAAUCGACUUUUGCAUAUUCUGAAUCUCUAAUAUUUUACAUCUUUUUGUUUGGAAUCUUCCUCGUCUCAUCAGCGCUUAUCCUGUACCCAGCUAUGCCCUCUAUUUCAACCCAGCUCUAAGCUAGCGUUUCAUUAUUUACGAUCUCUCUCUCUCUCUCUCUCUCUCUCUAAAACACAUAAUCCAUGGAAGGUCCGAGAUUCCUGCGUUUUUUCUCCCUUUCCCUCUGCAUAGGCCUAGUCCUCCUCUUCACUUGGUCCCACCUCCCUUACGCGCCGCCGUACGUCUCCGACCUCCUUGACUGCACAGCAAACUCCGCCUGGUGCUCCUCCAAAAACCGCAUCCAAGCCAAACCCCCUAUCCCAACGCGCCGCCUCAAAGACCACAGCUCCGACACCCCCCACCACCCUCUCGACCCCCUCACCAUCCAAGAACUCAACGCCGUCCGCACCAUCCUCAACUCCCACGCGCUCUUCACCUCCACCUCCUCCUACGCGCUCCACUCCAUCGAGCUCCAGGAGCCCGACAAGUCCCUCGUCCUCG
This 5812-nucleotide long non-coding RNA is filed under the name Malus domestica (apple). RNAcentral's name for it is "long non-coding RNA (MDOM_LNC002151)". Lineage: Eukaryota; Viridiplantae; Streptophyta; Magnoliopsida; Rosales; Rosaceae. The record is from RNAcentral.